AACCUAUUAGCUCAACCGGCAGAGCACUAUGCAAAUGCAUAGGGGAUGUAGGUUCGAUUCCUACAUAGGUUG
Non-coding RNA from Spinacia oleracea (spinach), 72 nucleotides. NCBI's taxonomy places the organism in Eukaryota, Viridiplantae, Streptophyta, Magnoliopsida, Caryophyllales, Amaranthaceae. The record is from Rfam.